RNAcentral lists this ribosomal RNA (430 nucleotides) under Bacillota bacterium. Its description in RNAcentral is "Firmicutes bacterium partial 16S ribosomal RNA". It matches the Rfam family "Bacterial small subunit ribosomal RNA", at positions 355 to 776 of the family's 1533-position model. Lineage: Bacteria; Bacillati; Bacillota. The record is from RNAcentral.
UGGGGAAUAUUGGACAAUGGGCGCAAGCCUGAUCCAGCCAUGCCGCGUGUGUGAAGAAGGCCUUUUGGUUGUAAAGCACUUUAAGCGAGGAGGAGGCUACUUGGAUUAAUACUCUAGGAUAGUGGACGUUACUCGCAGAAUAAGCACCGGCUAACUCUGUGCCAGCAGCCGCGGUAAUACAGAGGGUGCGAGCGUUAAUCGGAUUUACUGGGCGUAAAGCGUGCGUAGGCGGCUUUUUAAGUCGGAUGUGAAAUCCCUGGGCUUAACUUAGGAAUUGCAUUCGAUACUGGGAAGCUAGAGUAUGGGAGGGGAUGGUAGAAUUCCAGGUGUAGCGGUGAAAUGCGUAGAGAUCUGGAGGAAUACCGAUGGCGAAGGCAGCCAUCUGGCCUAAUACUGACGCUGAGGUACGAAAGCAUGGGGAGCAAACAGG